UGGGGAAUAUUGCACAAUGGGCGGAAGCCUGAUGCAGCGACGCCGCGUGGGGGAUGAAGGCCUUCGGGUUGUAAACUCCUUUCGACAGGGACGAAGCUUUUGUGACGGUAGCUGUAUAAGAAGCACCGGCUAACUACGUGCCAGCAGCCGCGGUAAUACGUAGGGUGCGAGCGUUGUCCGGAAUUACUGGGCGUAAAGAGCUCGUAGGUGGUUUGUCGCGUCGUCUGUGAAAUUCCGGGGCUUAACUCCGGGCGUGCAGGCGAUACGGGCUGACUUGAGUGCUGUAGGGGAGACUGGAAUUCCUGGUGUAGCGGUGAAAUGCGCAGAUAUCAGGAGGAACACCGAUGGCGAAGGCAGGUCUCUGGGCAGUAACUGACGCUGAGGAGCGAAAGCAUGGGUAGCGAACAGG
This 409-nucleotide ribosomal RNA is filed under the name Actinomycetes bacterium. RNAcentral describes it as "Actinobacteria bacterium partial 16S ribosomal RNA". It matches the Rfam family "Bacterial small subunit ribosomal RNA", at positions 355 to 776 of the family's 1533-position model. The record is from RNAcentral. Lineage: Bacteria; Bacillati; Actinomycetota; Actinomycetes.